RNAcentral lists this ribosomal RNA (588 nucleotides) under Acinetobacter sp. H6. Its description in RNAcentral is "bacterial SSU rRNA". It matches the Rfam family "Bacterial small subunit ribosomal RNA", at positions 242 to 817 of the family's 1533-position model. Lineage: Bacteria; Pseudomonadati; Pseudomonadota; Gammaproteobacteria; Moraxellales; Moraxellaceae. The record is from RNAcentral.
UAGCUAGUUGGGUGGGGGUAAAGGCCUACCAAGGCGACGAUCUGUAGCGGGUCUGAGAGGAUGAUCCGCCACACUGGGACUGAGACACGGCCCAGACUNCCUACGGGAGGCAGCAGUGGGGAAUAUUGGACAAUGGGGGGAACCCUGAUCCAGCCAUGCCGCGUGUGUGAAGAAGGCCUUAUGGUUGUAAAGCACUUUAAGCGAGGAGGAGGCUACUUUAGUUAAUACCUAGAGAUAGUGGACGUUACUCGCAGAAUAAGCACCGGCUAACUCUGUGCCAGCAGCCGCGGUAAUACAGAGGGUGCGAGCGUUAAUCGGAUUUACUGGGCGUAAAGCGUGCGUAGGCGGCUUAUUAAGUCGGAUGUGAAAUCCCCGAGCUUAACUUGGGAAUUGCAUUCGAUACUGGUGAGCUAGAGUAUGGGAGAGGAUGGUAGAAUUCCAGGUGUAGCGGUGAAAUGCGUAGAGAUCUGGAGGAAUACCGAUGGCGAAGGCAGCCAUCUGGCCUAANACUGACGCUGAGGUACGAAAGCAUGGGGAGCAAACAGGAUUAGACUACCCUGGUAGUCCAUGCCGUAAACGAUGUCUACU